AUGAACACAAACGCUAGCCCUGGACCAGAUGGAUUUGGCCCUAUUUUCUUUAGAAAAUAUUGGCACGAAAUCAAACACUCCAUCCUCACGUUCUUUGCUGCUUUCCAUGAUCAAACAGCUUCCCUCGAUCGAUUUAACCGAGCAUACAUGGUCCUCAUUCCAAAAACAAUAGCCCCAACCUCCCCCGAUGCAUUUAGACCAAUCUCUCUGCAAAACUGUACCCCAAAAGCGGUGGCCAAAGUUCUUACAAACAGGGUCAAACCACUCAUCCCUCUACUCAUUCACUACGACCAAACAUGA
Molecule: ribosomal RNA, 300 nt
Filed under: Triticum aestivum (bread wheat)
Lineage: Eukaryota; Viridiplantae; Streptophyta; Magnoliopsida; Poales; Poaceae
Description: partial small subunit ribosomal RNA
Source: RNAcentral